This 408-nucleotide ribosomal RNA is filed under the name Acinetobacter baumannii. RNAcentral describes it as "bacterial SSU rRNA". It matches the Rfam family "Bacterial small subunit ribosomal RNA", at positions 793 to 1201 of the family's 1533-position model. Lineage: Bacteria; Pseudomonadati; Pseudomonadota; Gammaproteobacteria; Moraxellales; Moraxellaceae. The record is from RNAcentral.
GUCCACGCCGUAAACGAUGUCGAUUUGGAGGUUGUGCCCUUGAGGCGUGGCUUCCGGAGCUAACGCGUUAAAUCGACCGCCUGGGGAGUACGGCCGCAAGGUUAAAACUCAAAUGAAUUGACGGGGGCCCGCACAAGCGGUGGAGCAUGUGGUUUAAUUCGAUGCAACGCGAAGAACCUUACCUGGUCUUGACAUCCACAGAACUUACCAGAGAUGGAUUGGUGCCUUCGGGAACUGUGAGACAGGUGCUGCAUGGCUGUCGUCAGCUCGUGUUGUGAAAUGUUGGGUUAAGUCCCGCAACGAGCGCAACCCUUAUCCUUUGUUGCCAGCGGUCCGGCCGGGAACUCAAAGGAGACUGCCAGUGAUAAACUGGAGGAAGGUGGGGAUGACGUCAAGUCAUCAUGGCCC